This 394-nucleotide ribosomal RNA is filed under the name Grimontella senegalensis. RNAcentral describes it as "bacterial SSU rRNA". It matches the Rfam family "Bacterial small subunit ribosomal RNA", at positions 32 to 424 of the family's 1533-position model. The record is from RNAcentral. Lineage: Bacteria; Pseudomonadati; Pseudomonadota; Gammaproteobacteria; Enterobacterales.
AACGCUGGCGGCAGGCCUAACACAUGCAAGUCGAACGGUAGCACAGAGAGCUUGCUCUCGGGUGACGAGUGGCGGACGGGUGAGUAAUGUCUGGGAAACUGCCCGAUGGAGGGGGAUAACUACUGGAAACGGUAGCUAAUACCGCAUAAUGUCGCAAGACCAAAGAGGGGGACCUUCGGGCCUCUUGCCAUCGGAUGUGCCCAGAUGGGAUUAGCUUGUUGGUGAGGUAAUGGCUCACCAAGGCGACGAUCCCUAGCUGGUCUGAGAGGAUGACCAGCCACACUGGAACUGAGACACGGUCCAGACUCCUACGGGAGGCAGCAGUGGGGAAUAUUGCACAAUGGGCGCAAGCCUGAUGCAGCCAUGCCGCGUGUGUGAAGAAGGCCUUCGGGUU